GAUGAACGCUGGCGGCGUGCUUAACACAUGCCAGUCGAACGGGAAUUAUUUUAUUGAACCUUCGGUCGAUUUAAUUUAAUUCUAGUGGCGGACGGGUGAGUAACGCGUGGGUAACCUGCCUUAUACAGGGGGAUAACAGUCAGAAGUGGCUGCUAAUACCGCAUAAGCGCACAGAGCUGCAUGGCUCAGUGUGAAAAACUCCGGUGGUAUAAGAUGGACCCGCGUUGGAUUAGCUGGUUGGUGGGGUAACGGCCCACCAAGGCGACGAUCCAUAGCCGGCCUGAGAGGGUGAACGGCCACAUUGGGACUGAGACACGGCCCAGACUCCUACGGGAGGCAGCAGUGGGGAAUAUUGCACAAUGGGGGAAACCCUGAUGCAGCGACGCCGCGUGAAGGAAGAAGUAUCUCGGUAUGUAAACUUCUAUCAGCAGGGAAGAUAGUGACGGUACCUGACUAAGAAGCCCCGGCUAACUACGUG
RNAcentral lists this ribosomal RNA (478 nucleotides) under uncultured bacterium. RNAcentral's name for it is "partial 16S ribosomal RNA". It matches the Rfam family "Bacterial small subunit ribosomal RNA", at positions 28 to 507 of the family's 1533-position model. The record is from RNAcentral.